This is a long non-coding RNA of Oncorhynchus keta (chum salmon), 2126 nucleotides long. RefSeq lists it as uncharacterized. The transcript has 3 exons. Lineage: Eukaryota; Metazoa; Chordata; Actinopteri; Salmoniformes; Salmonidae. The record is from RefSeq and is a predicted model, not a curated record.
GCCGCCUGAUUACUUCUUCUCUAAUAGUUUCUCAUUGAGAGAAGGACAGCUGGUGGGGGUAGGCUGACAGUAGCUCAUCCACCAUCAGCACACUGGAAGUUAGCUAUGGGUACAGUGACAAAAUGGCUACUGUUAUCACUAACAGACUGGUGACACAAGAAACUCAUACAGACACGUGUGUACCUUCCACUGAGUUCCUUAAUUAAAGGGAUUCUUCAGGAUUUUGGAAAUGAAGCCCUUUAUCGACUUCCCCGGAGUCAGAUGAACUGUGUCCAGUAUGAAGGAAGUUGGAGGUAGUUUCACGAGCCAAUGCUACCUAGCGUUAGCGCAAUGAGCAAACACUAGUUAGCAACUUCCUUCAAACUGGACGCAGAGACAGAAAAAUGGUAUCCAUGAGUUCAUCUGACUAUGGGGAAGUCGAUAAAGGGCCCUGAAGUAACUGAAACUGAGAUACUACCAUAGUUCCUUUUUCAGUGGAACCACCACAACUAUCAAAAUCAUUUCAAGGUAAACUGUAUUUCUCUGUAUUGUACCACAGAAGGUCACAGUUUAUUUGGAUAGUUCAGAUACUCAUACCAUCAACAAACUAUCUGUUGAUAAGCAACUGCUUGCUAAGGUUAUGGUUAGGUUUGGAAUAAGAGUUAGGGUAAAGGGUUAAGGUUAGGAUUAGGUUUAGAAUAAGAGUUAGGGUAAAGGGUUAAGGUUAUGGUUAGGUUUAGAAUAAGAGUUAGGGUAAAGGGUUAAGGUUAUGGUUAGGAUUAGAAUAAGAGUUAGGGUAAAGGGUUAAGGUUAUGGUUAUGGUUAGGUUUGGAAUAAGAGUUAGGGUAAAGGGUUAAGGUUAUGGUUAGAUUUAGAAUAAGAGUUAGGGUAAAGGGUUAAGGUAAUGGUUAGGUUUAGAAUAAGAGUUAGGGUAAAGGGUUAAGGUUAUGGUUAGGUUUAGAAUAAGAGUUAGGGUAAAGGGUUAAGGUUAUGGUUAGGUUUGGAAUAAGAGUUAGGGUAAAGGGUUAAGGUUAUGGUUAGGUUUGGAAUAAGAGUUAGGGUAAAGGGUUAAGGUUAUGGUUAUGGUUAGGUUUGGAAUAAGAGUUAGGGUAAAGGGUUAAGGUGAUGGUUAGGUUAGGUUAGGUUUAGAAUAAGAGUUAGGGUAAAGGGUUAAGGUUAGGAUUAGAAUAAGAGUUAGGGUAAAGGGUUAAGGUUAUGGUUAGGUUUAGAAUAAGAGUUAGGGUAAAGGGUUAAGGUUAGGAUUAGAAUAAUAGUUAGGGUAAAGGGUUAAGGUUAUGGUUAGGUUUAGAAUAAGAGUUAGGGUAAAGGGUUAAGGUUAUGGUUAGGUUUAGAAUACGAGUUAGGGUAAAGGGUUAAGGUUAUGAUUAUGGUUAGGUUUGGAAUAAGAGUUAGGGUAAAGGGUUAAGGUUAUGGUUAGAUUUAGAAUAAGAGUUAGGGUAAAGGGUUAAGGUAAUGGUUAGGUUUAGAAUAAGAGUUAGGGUAAAGGGUUAAGGUUAUGGUUAGGUUUAGAAUAAGAGUUAGGGUAAAGGGUUAAGGUUAUGGUUAGGUUUAGAAUAAGAGUUAGGGUAAAGGGUUAAGGUAAUGGUUAGGUUUAGAAUAAGAGUUAGGGUAAAGGGUUAAGAUUAUGGUUAGGUUUAGAAUAAGAGUUAGGGUAAAGGGUUAAGGUUAUGGUUAGGUUUAGAAUAAGAGUUAGGGUAAAGGGUUAAGGUGAUGUUUAGGUUUAGAAUAAGAGUUAGGGUAAAGGGUUAAGGUUAUGGUUAGGUUUAGAAUAAGAGUUAGGGUAAAGGGUUAAGGUUAUGGUUAGGUUUAGAAUAAGAGUUAGGGUAAAGGGUUAAGGUUAUGGUUAGGUUUAGAAUAAGAGUUAGGGUAAAGGGUUAAGGUUAUGGUUAGGUUUAGAAUAAGAGUUAGGGUAAAGGGUUAAGGUUAUGGUUAGGAUUAGAAUAAGAGUUAGGGUAAAGGGUUAAGGUUAUGGUUAGGAUUAGAAUAAGAGUUAGGGUAAAGGGUUAAGGUUAGUUAGUAGAUAGUAGAUAGUUAGUUGAACAGUUAGUGAUAGUCUGUAGAUGUACUAUCCAAAUAAAGUGUCGCCCCACAGAAGCCUGAUAACGUGAUGUCAUAUCUGUGUGCCA